UGGAGAAUUUUGGACAAUGGGGGCAACCCUGAUCCAGCAAUGCCGCGUGUGUGAAGAAGGCCUUCGGGUUGUAAAGCACUUUUGUCCGGAAAGAAAACGCCGUGGUUAAUACCCGUGGGCGGAUGACGGUACCGGAAGAAUAAGCACCGGCUAACUACGUGCCAGCAGCCGCGGUAAUACGUAGGGUGCAAGCGUUAAUCGGAAUUACUGGGCGUAAAGCGUGCGCAGGCGGUCCGCUAAGACAGAUGUGAAAUCCCCGGGCUUAACCUGGGAACUGCAUUUGUGACUGGCGGGCUAGAGUAUGGCAGAGGGGGGUAGAAUUCCACGUGUAGCAGUGAAAUGCGUAGAGAUGUGGAGGAAUACCGAUGGCGAAGGCAGCCCCCUGGGCCAAUACUGACGCUCAUGCACGAAAGCGUGGGGGAGCAAACAGGAUUCAGAUACCCUGGUAGUCCACGCCCUAAACGAUGUCAACUAGUUGUCGGGUCUUCAUUGACUUGGUAACGUAGCUAGCGCGUGAAGUUGACCGCCUGGGGGAGUAC
RNAcentral lists this ribosomal RNA (539 nucleotides) under uncultured bacterium. Its description in RNAcentral is "partial 16S ribosomal RNA". It matches the Rfam family "Bacterial small subunit ribosomal RNA", at positions 355 to 883 of the family's 1533-position model. The record is from RNAcentral.